Molecule: RNA transcript, 2229 nt
Organism: Ipomoea nil (Japanese morning glory)
Lineage: Eukaryota; Viridiplantae; Streptophyta; Magnoliopsida; Solanales; Convolvulaceae
Gene name: pentatricopeptide repeat-containing protein At3g29230-like
Exons: 3
Source: RefSeq, a predicted model, not a curated record
UAACUGCCAUUCAAAGCUUCAAUUUUCAAAGACCCAUAAGAGCAAUGGAGCAAAAAUUGCUCCACUUGUUGACAAAAUGCAGGGUUUCCAAACAAUUGAAGCAGACCCAUCUUCAGAUCAUCACCAAUGGCCUCAAAGACAGUAACUUUCUUGUGCCCAAGUUCAUUAGCCAGUCCGCUGGCCUCAUUUCUCUCGACUAUGCUGCUCGUGCAUUUCUAAGCGUGGGCAACCCUAGUACAUUCCUCUGCAAUGCUUUGAUCAAAUGUUUCAUAGGAAAGACUCACAAAGAUGCCCUAUCUACUUACAAUCAAAUGCGGGCAUCGAUGAUUUCGCCAAACAGCUUCACUUUUACCUUCUUGUUAAGAUGCUUUGACGCUUUUGAAGACGGUACAGCAGUGCACUGCCACAUUGUAAAAUUGGGAUUUGAGUCGAGCGUGUUUGUUCAGAAUACUCUUUUGGAUUUUUAUGCCAAGUGUUGUGAGGAUUUGGAGAUGGCCCGUAAACUGUUCGAGGUAAUGCCUGAAAGAGAUGUUGUUUCAUGGAACACUAUGAUCCAAGCUUAUAUGGCUCACGGAGAGAUGGCAUCUGCUUUCUGUUUGUUUGAGUCAAUGCCUGAAAGGAAUGUUGUGACGUGGAAUUCAGUAAUUUCUGGGAUUGUGAAGGCUGGGGAUAUAGACUUGGCACAUUCUGUUUUCCAGCGUAUGCCACAAAGGAGUGAUGUCUCGUGGAAUACGAUGGUUUCUGCAUACAUAAAUUCGGGUGACUUGAGAACUGCACAAGCUAUAUUCGACGACAUGCCAGCCAAGAGUGUUGCCUCGUGGACAAUAAUGGUGUCGGGCCAUUCUAAACUUGGUGAUCUUGAAUCGGCAAGGAGGGUUUUUGAUCAGAUGCCUAUAAAAAACGUCGUCUCAUGGAAUGCUAUGAUUUCGGGGUAUGUUCAUAACCACAUGUUUGAUGAAGCUCUUUCUGUUUUUCACCAUAUGCUGAUUGAUGGGAAAUGCAAUCCUGAUCAGUCGACUCUAAUCAGUAUACUAUCCGCUUCUGCACACCUGGGAUGUCACGAGCAAGGAAAAUGGAUACACUCUUAUAUAAAAAGAUUCAAGUUUGACUUGGCAGUUCCCCUAGGGAAUGCUUUAAUAGAUAUGUAUGUGAAAUGUGGAGACAUGGAAAACGCGAUGUCAGUUUUUGUGAAUAUGAGUAGGAGUUGCGUUAUUACUUGGACUACGAUGAUUUAUGGGAUGGCUGUCAAUGGACAUUGCAGAGAAGCCUUAAAUCUGUACGAUAAGAUGUGUUCAGAAGGAUUAAAACCGGAUGGUGUUCUAUUUAUUGCUGUCCUUUCAGCGUGUGUUCAUGGAGGGCUGUUAGAAGAGGGCAAAAGGGUGUUUGAACAGAUGGUUCAUAAGUUUGGAAUCAAACCGAGAAUCGAGCAUUAUGGCUGCAUGGUUGAUCUUCUUGGUCGAACUGGCUGCUUAGAAGAAGCAAUGAGUUUUGUCGAAACAAUGGAUUUGGAACCUAAUGCCAUAAUCUGGGCUACAUUACUUUCUGCUUGUAAAAUUCAUAGAAACGGGGAACUGUUGGAGUCCUUAUCGAAGAAGAUUAUGGAGAAAGAGCCCAAUAAUCCUAGUUACUUAACACUAAUUACAAACUUGAGCUCAUCAGUUGGGCGGUGGCAAGACACGUUGAACUUCAGGAUGGCAACAAGACAUCAGGGAAAGGAAAAGUUGCCUGGUUGCAGCUCGAUUCAAAUCGGGAAUAGUGUACAUGAGUUCUUAGCAAAGGAUACGAGGCAUACACAACGAGAGGAGAUCUAUGGAGUCUUGGGUAUUUUAAAUGGGCACUUGAUGUCAUCACAUGACAGUGAAAUAAAGGCAAUGGUCAUUGCUUUUGAUUGAGAUAUUCCUUUUGCCAAUUAUAACUGAAAGGAAUCUUACAAUGUCAAGACAACAUAAUGCAGUUGAACUAUGAAGAAUCAUGGGAGCAAUAUCCUCAGGCUCUUGUCCAAGAAUACUUAUGGAUAUUCUGAGUAGGGUAUCCACUUAGACAGGCCGAGUAGGUUGUCUGAUCGGACCAUUGGUCAGGCGGCGGGGGUGACAGUUGGUUGGUAGCUAAGAGAAUGGAAGAACCAUGGGACCUGGUCGCGGGAGGUGCGAAUAUUUCAAGAUCUUUCUUUGUGUCUUAUUUCGUUUAAAGCACGUUCGUAUUGUUUUACAGCUGUGUUAUUGGCCCGCC